RNAcentral lists this ribosomal RNA (904 nucleotides) under uncultured bacterium. RNAcentral describes it as "bacterial SSU rRNA". It matches the Rfam family "Bacterial small subunit ribosomal RNA", at positions 53 to 965 of the family's 1533-position model. The record is from RNAcentral.
ACAUGCAAGUCGAACGAACUUAACCAUUAGUUUACUAUUGGAGCGGUUAGUGGCGGACUGGUGAGUAACACGUAAGCAACCUGCCUAUCAGAGGGGAACAACAGUUAGAAAUGACUGCUAAUACCGCAUAUGCCUUAGAAUCACAUGGUUCAAAAGGGAAAGGAGCAAUCCGCUGAUAGAUGGGCUUGCGUCUGAUUAGCUAGUUGGUGGGGUAAUGGCCUACCAAGGCAACGAUCAGUAGCCGAACUGAGAGGUUGAACGGCCACAUUGGGACUGAGAUACGGCCCAGACUCCUACGGGAGGCAGCAGUCGGGAAUAUUGCGCAAUGGAGGAAACUCUGACGCAGUGACGCCGCGUGCAGGAAGAAGGUUUUCGGAUUGUAAACUGCUUUAGACAGGGAAGAACAAAGACAGUACCUGUAGAAUAAGCUCCGGCUAACUACGUGCCAGCAGCCGCGGUAAUACGUAGGGAGCGAGCGUUAUCCGGAUUUAUUGGGUGUAAAGGGUGCGUAGACGGGAAGUCAAGUUAGUUGUGAAAUCCCUCGGCUUAACUGAGGAACUGCAACUAAAACUGAUUUUCUUGAGUACUGGAGAGGAAAGUGGAAUUCCUAGUGUAGCGGUGAAAUGCGUAGAUAUUAGGAGGAACACCGGUGGCGAAGGCGACUUUCUGGACAGAAACUGACGUUGAGGCACGAAAGUGUGGGGAGCAAACAGGAUUAGAUACCCUGGUAGUCCACACCGUAAACGAUGGAUACUAGGUGUAGGGGAUAUUAAAAUUCUCUGUGCCGCCGCUAACGCAAUAAGUAUCCCACCUGGGGAGUACGGCCGCAAGGUUGAAACUCAAAGGAAUUGACGGGGGCCCGCACAAGCAGUGGAGUAUGUGGUUUAAUUCGACGCAACGCGAA